This 502-nucleotide ribosomal RNA is filed under the name uncultured bacterium. RNAcentral describes it as "bacterial SSU rRNA". It matches the Rfam family "Bacterial small subunit ribosomal RNA", at positions 903 to 1397 of the family's 1533-position model. The record is from RNAcentral.
AAAGGAAUAGACGGGGACCCGCACAAGCGGUGGAACAUGUGGUUUAAUUCGAAGCAACGCGAAAAACCUUACCAGGACUUGACAUCUAGAGAACCUUAGUGAAAGCUAGGGGUGCCUUCGGGAACUCUAAGACAGGUGGUGCACGGUUGUCGUCAGCUCGUGUCGUGAGAUGUUGGGUUAAGUCCCGCAACGAGCGCAACCCUCGUCGUUAGUUGGUUAUAGUGGCAUGCUGCUAUAUACCUCUCUAGCGAGACUGCCGGUGAUAAACCGGAGGAAGGUGAGGACGACGUCAAAUCAUCAUGCCCCUUAUGUUCUGGGCUACACACGUGUUACAAUGGCUGGUACAACGAGCAGCUAACUCGCGAGAGCAAGCAAAUCUCUUAAACCCAGUCUCAGUUCGGAUUGGACUCUGCAACUCGAGUCCAUGAAGUCGGAAUCGCUAGUAAACGCAGAUCAGCACGCUGCGUUGAAUACGUUCCCGGGUCUUGUACACACCGCCCGU